AGUGAACGCUGGCGGUAGGCCUAACACAUGCAAGUCGAACGGCAGCACAGUAAGAGCUUGCUCUUACGGGUGGCGAGUGGCGGACGGGUGAGGAAUACAUCGGAAUCUACUUUUUCGUGGGGGAUAACGUAGGGAAACUUACGCUAAUACCGCAUACGACCUACGGGUGAAAGCAGGGGAUCUUCGGACCUUGCGCGAUUGAAUGAGCCGAUGUCGGAUUAGCUAGUUGGCGGGGUAAAGGCCCACCAAGGCGACGAUCCGUAGCUGGUCUGAGAGGAUGGACAGGCAAACUGGGACCUGGGCACCGUCCAGGACCCCAAGGGGAGGCGGAAGUGGGGAAUAUUGGAAAAGGGGCGAAAGCCUGAUCAAGCAAGACGGGGGGGGUGAAGAAGGCCUUCGGGUGGUAAAGCCCUUUUGUUGGGAAAGAAAAGCGGCAGGUUAAGACCCCGCUGUUCUGACGGUACCAAAAGAAGAAGCACGGGCUACCUUGGU
Molecule: ribosomal RNA, 492 nt
Filed under: uncultured bacterium
Lineage: Bacteria
Description: partial 16S ribosomal RNA
Rfam family: Bacterial small subunit ribosomal RNA
Source: RNAcentral